AGGGGGUAUGGCGGAAUUGGUAGACGCUACGGACUUAAAAUCCGUUGGCUUUAUUGACCAUGAGG
RNAcentral lists this transfer RNA (65 nucleotides) under Leiomela ecuadorensis. RNAcentral's name for it is "partial transfer RNA Leu". Lineage: Eukaryota; Viridiplantae; Streptophyta; Bryopsida; Bartramiales; Bartramiaceae. The record is from RNAcentral.